Molecule: ribosomal RNA, 487 nt
Filed under: uncultured bacterium
Lineage: Bacteria
Description: partial 16S ribosomal RNA
Rfam family: Bacterial small subunit ribosomal RNA
Source: RNAcentral
GACGAACGCUGGCGGCGUGCUUAACACAUGCAAGUCGAACGGAAAGGCCCCCAUCUUGGUGGGGGUGCUCGAGUGGCGAACGGGUGAGUAACACGUGGGUGAUCUGCCCUGUACUUCGGGAUAAGCUUGGGAAACUGGGUCUAAUACCGGAUAGGACCAUGGUUUAGUGUCUCAUGGUGGAAAGAUUAUUGUUUUGGUGCAGGAUGAGCUCGCGGCCUAUCAGCUUGUUGGUGGGGUAAUGGUCUACCAAGGCGUCGACGGGUAGCCGGCCUGAGAGGGUGGACGGCCACAUUGGGACUGAGAUACGGCCCAGACUCCUACGGGAGGCAGCAGUGGGGAAUAGUGCACAAUGGGCGCAAGCCUGAUGCAGCGACGCCGCGUGGGGGAUGACGGCCUUCGGGUUGUAAACUCCUUUCGUUAGGGACGAAGCCACGCUUUUGGGGUGUGGUGACGGUACCUUUGUUAAGAAGCACCGGCUAACUACGUG